This 2886-nucleotide ribosomal RNA is filed under the name Staphylococcus aureus. Its description in RNAcentral is "bacterial LSU rRNA". The record is from RNAcentral. Lineage: Bacteria; Bacillati; Bacillota; Bacilli; Caryophanales; Staphylococcaceae.
ACUAGAAGCCGAUGAAGGACGUUACUAACGACGAUAUGCUUUGGGGAGCUGUAAGUAAGCUUUGAUCCAGAGAUUUCCGAAUGGGGAAACCCAGCAUGAGUUAUGUCAUGUUAUCGAUAUGUGAAUACAUAGCAUAUCAGAAGGCACACCCGGAGAACUGAAACAUCUUAGUACCCGGAGGAAGAGAAAGAAAAUUCGAUUCCCUUAGUAGCGGCGAGCGAAACGGGAAGAGCCCAAACCAACAAGCUUGCUUGUUGGGGUUGUAGGACACUCURUACGGAGUUACAAAGGACGACAUUAGACGAAUCAUCUGGAAAGAUGAAUCAAAGAAGGUAAUAAUCCUGUAGUCGAAAAUGUUGUCUCUCUUGAGUGGAUCCUGAGUACGACGGAGCACGUGAAAUUCCGUCGGAAUCUGGGAGGACCAUCUCCUAAGGCUAAAUACUCUCUAGUGACCGAUAGUGAACCAGUACCGUGAGGGAAAGGUGAAAAGCACCCCGGAAGGGGAGUGAAAUAGAACCUGAAACCGUGUGCUUACAAGUAGUCAGAGCCCGUUAAUGGGUGAUGGCGUGCCUUUUGUAGAAUGAACCGGCGAGUUACGAUUUGAUGCAAGGUUAAGCAGUAAAUGUGGAGCCGUAGCGAAARCGAGUCUGAAUAGGGCGUUUAGUAUUUGGUCGUAGACCCGAAACCAGGUGAUCUACCCUUGGUCAGGUUGAAGUUCAGGUAACACUGAAUGGAGGACCGAACCGACUUACGUUGAAAAGUGAGCGGAUGAACUGAGGGUAGCGGAGAAAUUCCAAUCGAACCUGGAGAUAGCUGGUUCUCUCCGAAAUAGCUUUAGGGCUAGCCUCAAGUGAUGAUUAUUGGAGGUAGAGCACUGUUUGGACGAGGGGCCCCUCUCGGGUUACCGAAUUCAGACAAACUCCGAAUGCCAAUUAAUUUAACUUGGGAGUCAGAACAUGGGUGAUAAGGUCCGUGUUCGAAAGGGAAACAGCCCAGACCACCAGCUAAGGUCCCAAAAUAUAUGUUAAGUGGAAAAGGAUGUGGCGUUGCCCAGACAACUAGGAUGUUGGCUUAGAAGCAGCCAUCAUUUAAAGAGUGCGUAAUAGCUCACUAGUCGAGUGACACUGCGCCGAAAAUGUACCGGGGCUAAACAUAUUACCGAAGCUGUGGAUUGUCCUUUGGACAAUGGUAGGAGAGCGUUCUAAGGGCGUUGAAGCAUGAUCGUAAGGACAUGUGGAGCGCUUAGAAGUGAGAAUGCCGGUGUGAGUAGCGAAAGACGGGUGAGAAUCCCGUCCACCGAUUGACUAAGGUUUCCAGAGGAAGGCUCGUCCGCUCUGGGUUAGUCGGGUCCUAAGCUGAGGCCGACAGGCGUAGGCGAUGGAUAACAGGUUGAUAUUCCUGUACCACCUAUAAUCGUUUUAAUCGAUGGGGGGACGCAGUAGGAUAGGCGAAGCGUGCGAUUGGAUUGCACGUCUAAGCAGUAAGGCUGAGUAUUAGGCAAAUCCGGUACUCGUUAAGGCUGAGCUGUGAUGGGGAGAAGACAUUGWGUCUUCGAGUCGUUGAUUUCACACUGCCGAGAAAAGCCUCUAGAUAGAAAAUAGGUGCCCGUACCGCAAACCGACACAGGUAGUCAAGAUGAGAAUUCUAAGGUGAGCGAGCGAACUCUCGUUAAGGAACUCGGCAAAAUGACCCCGUAACUUCGGGAGAAGGGGUGCUCUUUAGGGUUAACGCCCAGAAGAGCCGCAGUGAAUAGGCCCAAGCGACUGUUUAUCAAAAACACAGGUCUCUGCUAAACCGUAAGGUGAUGUAUAGGGGCUGACGCCUGCCCGGUGCUGGAAGGUUAAGAGGAGUGGUUAGCUUCUGCGAAGCUACGAAUCGAAGCCCCAGUAAACGGCGGCCGUAACUAUAACGGUCCUAAGGUAGCGAAAUUCCUUGUCGGGUAAGUUCCGACCCGCACGAAAGGCGUAACGAUUUGGGCACUGUCUCAACGAGAGACUCGGUGAAAUCAUAGUACCUGUGAAGAUGCAGGUUACCCGCGACAGGACGGAAAGACCCCGUGGAGCUUUACUGUAGCCUGAUAUUGAAAUUCGGCACAGCUUGUACAGGAUAGGUAGGAGCCUUUGAAACGUGAGCGCUAGCUUACGUGGAGGCGCUGGUGGGAUACUACCCUAGCUGUGUUGGCUUUCUAACCCGCACCACUUAUCGUGGUGGGAGACAGUGUCARGCGGGCAGUUUGACUGGGGCGGUCGCCUCCUAAAAGGUAACGGAGGCGCUCAAAGGUUCCCUCAGAAUGGUUGGAAAUCAUUCAUAGAGUGUAAAGGCAUAAGGGAGCUUGACUGCGAGACCUACAAGUCGAGCAGGGUCGAAAGACGGACUUAGUGAUCCGGUGGUUCCGCAUGGAAGGGCCAUCGCUCAACGGAUAAAAGCUACCCCGGGGAUAACAGGCUUAUCUCCCCCAAGAGUUCACAUCGACGGGGAGGUUUGGCACCUCGAUGUCGGCUCAUCGCAUCCUGGGGCUGUAGUCGGUCCCAAGGGUUGGGCUGUUCGCCCAUUAAAGCGGUACGCGAGCUGGGUUCAGAACGUCGUGAGACAGUUCGGUCCCUAUCCGUCGUGGGCGUAGGAAAUUUGAGAGGAGCUGUCCUUAGUACGAGAGGACCGGGAUGGACAUACCUCUGGUGUACCAGUUGUCGUGCCAACGGCAUAGCUGGGUAGCUAUGUGUGGACGGGAUAAGUGCUGAAAGCAUCUAAGCAUGAAGCCCCCCUCAAGAUGAGAUUUCCCAACUUCGGUUAUAAGAUCCCUCAAAGAUGAUGAGGUUAAUAGGUUCGAGGUGGAAGCAUGGUGACAUGUGGAGCUGACGAAUACUAAUCGAUCGAAGACUUAAUCAA